GAAAGGGAAUGGGGUCAAUAUUCCCCAACCCGGACACGGAGAUAGNACCCUCGGGGUCAAGUACGGUAACGCAACCGAACUCGGAGACGUCGACGGAGGACCCGGGGAAGAGUUGUCUUUUCUUUGUAAGGGUUCGUGUCCCUGGAAUCGGCUCGUCCGGAGAUAGGGACGCUGUUCCCGUAAAAGCACCGCGGCUCUUGCGGUGUCCGGUGCGCCUCUGUCGGCCCUUGCAAAUCCGAGGGAGAGAGUGUGAUUUUCGUGCCGGUCCGUACCCAUAUCCGCAGCAGGUCUCCAAGGU
RNAcentral lists this ribosomal RNA (298 nucleotides) under Argiope bruennichi. RNAcentral describes it as "partial 28S ribosomal RNA". It matches the Rfam family "Eukaryotic large subunit ribosomal RNA", at positions 1596 to 1873 of the family's 3401-position model. Lineage: Eukaryota; Metazoa; Arthropoda; Arachnida; Araneae; Araneidae. The record is from RNAcentral.